RNAcentral lists this ribosomal RNA (253 nucleotides) under uncultured bacterium. Its description in RNAcentral is "partial 16S ribosomal RNA". It matches the Rfam family "Bacterial small subunit ribosomal RNA", at positions 524 to 776 of the family's 1533-position model. The record is from RNAcentral.
UACGGAGGAUGCGAGCGUUAUCCGGAUUCAUUGGGUUUAAAGGGUGCGUAGGCGGUUCUGUAAGUCAGUGGUGAAAUCCUGCCGCUUAACGGUAGCACUGCCAUUGAUACUGCAGGACUUGAGUACAAUUGAGGUAGGCGGAAUGUGUUGUGUAGCGGUGAAAUGCUUAGAUAUGACACAGAACACCGAUUGCGAAGGCAGCUUACCAAGCUGUAACUGACGCUGAGGCACGAAAGCGUGGGGAUCGAACAGG